This 70-nucleotide transfer RNA is filed under the name Anolis leachii (Panther Anole). RNAcentral's name for it is "tRNA-Ala". The record is from RNAcentral. Lineage: Eukaryota; Metazoa; Chordata; Lepidosauria; Squamata; Anolidae.
GGAGGCCUUAGCCUAAUUAAGGUGUUUGAGUUGCAUUCAGGAGAUGUGAAGUAAAGUUUCUCAGGUCUUA